CUCUCCAGCGCUGUCGGCCUGGCUUAAAGUGAUUAAUUAUUUAACAGGCGCUCACUACUCUUUUAUGUUGCGAACGAGGUUGUGGCUACGAAGGCCAGCUUUUGCAAGAAGCUCCACGCUACCGUCGUCCUGGGACCUACCACGAAAGCGUUUCUUCAGGCAUGAUUGAGAGACUGAUACUCGUAUGCGUGGCACUUCUUGCGUGCGGAACGUGCGUCGCCUCCAGUGAGAUCGACGAGUCACCAGAGUGCAUACGAGUGAUGAGAGCAGUCGAUGCCUGCUCAGAGAAGUUCAAGGGACGCCUACCCAGAGAGCUUUUCACAGAGGU
This 328-nucleotide long non-coding RNA is filed under the name Dermacentor andersoni. RNAcentral describes it as "uncharacterized LOC126525886". The record is from RNAcentral. Lineage: Eukaryota; Metazoa; Arthropoda; Arachnida; Ixodida; Ixodidae.